AUUGUAACUAUUUCCUCCUGUGUCACAUUACUGAGGAACGUGGAGUUGGGAUUUGCAAUCUGAGGCAGAGAAUGAGGAGCUGGCAGAAAAAAGGAACAGGAAGCCAGUCCAUCGUCUCGGGGACUCGGAUGAUAGCGAAGAAGACCCGGGAAAUGGUGACCUUGCAUCUCUGGGGUUGGCAAGCCAAUUGCACAGGCAGACUCCACCGUCUCGCCGAGUGCCAGCAAGAGUCAUGAGUACUUGUCAACUCGACUCCUCAACUGGAGA
Molecule: long non-coding RNA, 267 nt
Organism: Entelurus aequoreus (snake pipefish)
Lineage: Eukaryota; Metazoa; Chordata; Actinopteri; Syngnathiformes; Syngnathidae
Exons: 3
Source: RefSeq, a predicted model, not a curated record